RNAcentral lists this ribosomal RNA (468 nucleotides) under uncultured bacterium. Its description in RNAcentral is "partial 16S ribosomal RNA". It matches the Rfam family "Bacterial small subunit ribosomal RNA", at positions 28 to 507 of the family's 1533-position model. The record is from RNAcentral.
GACGAACGCUGGCGGCGUGCUUAACACAUGCAAGUCGAACGGAAAGGCCCUGCUUUUGUGGUGUGCUCGAGUGGCGAACGGGUGAGUAACACGUGAGUAACCUGCCCUUGACUUUGGGAUAACUUCAGGAAACUGGGGCUAAUACCGGAUAGGAGCUCCUGCUGCAUGGUGGGGGUUGGAAAGUUUCGGCGGUUGGGGAUGGACUCGCGGCUUAUCAGCUUGUUGGUGGGGUAGUGGCUUACCAAGGCUUUGACGGGUAGCCGGCCUGAGAGGGUGACCGGCCACAUUGGGACUGAGAUACGGCCCAGACUCCUACGGGAGGCAGAAGUGGGGAAUAUUGCACAAUGGGCGGAAGCCUGAUGCAGCAACGCCGCGUGAGGGAUGAAGGCCUUAGGGUUGUAAACCGCUUUCGCCUGUGACGAAGCGUGAGUGACGGUAAUGGGUAAAGAAGCACCGGAUAAAUACGUG